GGAUCGAUGGGAGCUUGCUCCCUGAGAUCAGCGGCGGACGGGUGAGUAACACGUGGGUAACCUGCCUGUAAGACUGGGAUAACUCCGGGAAACCGGGGCUAAUACCGGAUAACUCAGUUCCUCGCAUGAGGAACUGUUGAAAGGUGGCUUUUCGCUACCACUUACAGAUGGACCCGCGGCGCAUUAGCUAGUUGGUGAGGUAACGGCUCACCAAGGCAACGAUGCGUAGCCGACCUGAGAGGGUGAUCGGCCACACUGGGACUGAAACACGGCCCAAACUCCUACGGGAGGCAGCAGUAGGGAAUCUUCCGCAAUGGACGAAAGUCUGACGGAGCAACGCCGCGUGAGUGAAGAAGGUUUUCGGAUCGUAAAACUCUGUUGUUAGGGAAGAACAAGUGCCGUUCGAAUAGGGCGGCACCUUGACGGUACCUAACCAGAAAGCCACGGCUAACUACGUGCCAGCAGCCGCGGUAAUACGUAGGUGGCAAGCGUUGUCCGGAAUUAUUGGGCGUAAAGCGCGCGCAGGUGGUUUCUUAAGUCUGAUGUGAAAGCCCACGGCUCAACCGUGGAGGGUCAUUGGAAACUGGGGAACUUGAGUGCAGAAAAGGAAAGUGGAAUUCCAAGUGUAGCGGUGAAAUGCGUAGAUAUUUGGAGGAACACCAGUGGCGAAGGCGACUUUCUGGUCUGUAACUGACACUGAGGCGCGAAAGCGUGGGGAGCAAACAGGAUUAGAUACCCUGGUAGUCCACGCCGUAAACGAUGAGUGCUAAGUGUUAGAGGGUUUCCGCCCUUUAGUGCUGCAGCUAACGCAUUAAGCACUCC
Molecule: ribosomal RNA, 822 nt
Filed under: Bacillus haikouensis
Lineage: Bacteria; Bacillati; Bacillota; Bacilli; Caryophanales; Bacillaceae
Description: bacterial SSU rRNA
Rfam family: Bacterial small subunit ribosomal RNA
Source: RNAcentral